Molecule: non-coding RNA, 866 nt
Organism: Phascolarctos cinereus (koala)
Lineage: Eukaryota; Metazoa; Chordata; Mammalia; Diprotodontia; Phascolarctidae
Source: RefSeq, a predicted model, not a curated record
CAUUCUUAAAAGUUUCUUAUCUUUGGGCUAAGUUCCUCUGGAUGGAAUUAGGUCAUGAAAUCUGGCCUAUCCUUCAAGAAGAUAUCAUCUCAUUAAUGAUCAUCUUUGUAUCCAGUCAUUCAACCAGUUCCUGAGCCCAUGUAACUGUACUGUUAUCCACCCAACAUCUUUCCAGGUUGUCCACAUAAGAGGUAUAUUUAGGCUGCUAGGUGAGCCCAAGCAUGAUGGACUUUGGCAAUCUGCAUGUCUUUGGAAUCAGACUUCUCUUACCUGUACUACAGUUUUCUCAGCGAUUCCGUGAUCAAAGGGCAUCAGUGAUUUCUGGCUAACGUCAUUUGCCAUCAGCUCCUCUACUCGGUUUUGACUCCACGAACAUCAUGCCACCAAACCAGGUACCAAGGAUUAUCCUUUGAUGGAACACUUGGCCAUCCUGCAUUGCAUUGAUGAGAAAAGCAAAAUGGCUUAUGUACAUAUGCUCAUUGCAGAGGAUCUGGAAGUUUAUAAACAAUAUACUUUGGUAAAAUAUGACAUUAGUGCAAAUGUGAGCAUAGGUAAAGAUGACCAAAAAAAAAAAACCAAACCACAUUGGAAAGUAUGUCUGAGGGUCCAGAAAUGAAAGAGGUCUAAAAGUUUGUGGACUAUACAGAAGACUUAAUAUCAUAAAUAUUUUCUUCAACAAAAGAGUGGGAUGUAGUAAAUAUGGCAAACAAAGAUUAACAUCAUAAAAUGAAAUUUACUGUAUCUUAACAGUCAGGAAAAUAAUUAGUUAUCAAAUGUGGGAGUUUUUAUACAGACCAUCAACUUGUUAGAGCAAAGAACAAAAUCAAUACCAAAUAAUAGCAAUAAAAAUAAGAUAUGGCACGCAA